This 269-nucleotide small RNA is filed under the name Pongo abelii (Sumatran orangutan). Its description in RNAcentral is "retained intron". Lineage: Eukaryota; Metazoa; Chordata; Mammalia; Primates; Hominidae. The record is from RNAcentral.
CCCCCAUGAAGACCUUCAAGUAGUUCAGCCUAAUGCUGAAUCUGGACGUCCCGAUUCCCCCCUCCUAUUGGCUUCUUGUGGUUCAUCCCAGUGCUUCUCGACCUGGUACAUUCCGGUUCCCCGCUCGCAGACUUCCGACGUGGAUGGUGCCCCCCAUGGUCGCUGAGACUCCCCUUCGAGGAUUGCACCCGCCCGUCCUAAGUCUCCCCACAAGGCGAGGGGAGUUACCCCUAAAACAAAGCUAUUAAAGGGACAGAAUACUUCCUGUU